GCGGCCAUGGUUAAGUGGUAUAAUGCGUCCUUGCCAAGGACGAGUUGGGAGUUCGAUUCUCCCUGGCCGCACAA
Molecule: transfer RNA, 74 nt
Filed under: Candidatus Adlerbacteria bacterium RIFCSPHIGHO2_01_FULL_54_23
Lineage: Bacteria; Candidatus Adleribacteriota
Also listed under: 1 other name
Description: tRNA-Gly
Rfam family: tRNA
About the family: Transfer RNA (tRNA) molecules are approximately 80 nucleotides in length. Their secondary structure includes four short double-helical elements and three loops (D, anti-codon, and T loops).
Source: RNAcentral